Molecule: non-coding RNA, 70 nt
Organism: Dipodomys ordii (Ord's kangaroo rat)
Lineage: Eukaryota; Metazoa; Chordata; Mammalia; Rodentia; Heteromyidae
Source: Rfam
GGGAAUGUGGCUUAGUGGUAGAGUGCUUGACUAGCAUGCAUGAAGCCCUGGGUUCAAUUCCUCAGUACCA